Molecule: ribosomal RNA, 342 nt
Filed under: Triticum aestivum (bread wheat)
Lineage: Eukaryota; Viridiplantae; Streptophyta; Magnoliopsida; Poales; Poaceae
Description: partial small subunit ribosomal RNA
Source: RNAcentral
ACGCUGCUUGACGUCAAGUCGUGCACGGGGGAGAUCAUCCUGUUCUUCCUCAACGGCGAGGCGUACCUGGGGCCCGGGUGCUGCCGCGCCAUCUGCGUCAUCGAGCAGCGCUGCUGGGCCGCCGACCUCAUGCUGUCCGUCAUCGGGUUCACCCCGGAGGAGGGGGACAUGCUCAAGGGCUACUGCGACGCGGGCGACGACGGCGGCGAGGGGCAUCAUCAUGGCGUCGGCGGGUCAUCUCCGGCCCCGCCGCCUCACCGUGCUCUUGACGGCGUCGCGAGUGGCGGCACAGCGGUGCCCGUGGCCGGAAGGAAAGGGCUUGGUGCGCCGUUAGAUGGUUAA